UUUGAUAAAUAAGUCUUCACAUUUAAUGAUAGUCACAGACACGACAACACAAAUUAAUUAAAUGAAACAAAACGACUAAAUUGACAAGUUUUUUUCAAAGUUAGAAACAAGAAAUACACAUUCAUUCAAAUCUAUUUAAUAAAAUCUACAACUUUCCAAAUCAAAUCAUUAACAUCUAAAGGGUUCAUAGUUCUAUUCAAUCAAUCCAAAUCCACAAUCAAAAUGUUUUAAAAUGUCUCGUCUCGAGAGGAAAAAAACUCAAGUAGGCCUAUUUUUUUUGUGGUAAUAUUUCAUACAAACAUGAUUUCAUGCGACAUCAACAAAAAAAACAAAUUCUCAGUCAAACACAGCCCCCCCUUUAUGAUCUUAUUGUAGGUGUCCUGGAAAAUGUGGUCUUAUCUUCCCCUGUGUGCUCCCUCUGAUGUGUUGUCAGGUUUCCUAACUGGGUAAAACAUUCGCUGAUUCGGGAACAUUUUGCAAUUUUGGGCGGAUUUUCUAUUGGACAAAUUCUGAUAAGUCCAUCCCCGUUUUCUAUUGGACAAAUUCUGAUAAGUCCCUCCCCGUUUCGUAAUGAAUACACCCCAGGGGUUGGAACCAAAAUUCUAGAACCAGAACUCCUUUCAUUCCGCAACAAUCAGUGUGGACAGAGCAGCUUGCUAUGGGAGUGGGCAAGCUAGUUAUUUACAUGCGUGUUGGACAGACAAGUGUAGAGCGCAAGAAGCCACAUACAUUUUGUGGGCAGAGAGAGCGAGAGAGGGAGGAGCAGGCUAGUCUUGAAGAGCUGUGCAUCUUGUUGUAGCGUAUCAUUAUCUGAAUUAGACCCACAGAAUUAUACCUACGGAGGAGGAGGCUUCUAUGGAGGAACGUUGAACUUCAGUGUGUGUUCAGAGUGACACCAGCAUUAAAAACACAUCUUACCUUUCUGUAGUUAAUACAUCCGAUGUGAAACGUGAUAACUAUAGUAUCAUUGAAAAAGUGAAUCCCUUCUUCUCUAAUUAAAAAUCUCUAUCUUCUGAAUCAAACUUGAAAACGUCAGUACAGUAGUUUAUGCCUCUGGUGGGGAGGGGCUACAGCUAUGAUGCUUUUGAAGGGAGGGGCUACAGCUAUGAUGCUUAUGAGGGGGAGGGGCUACAGCUAUGAUGCUUCUGUGGGAGGGAGGGGCAGGUACUCAAAACACAAUGGAAAACAUUUUCAGCUGGGAGAGUUCUGAGUGAGAAUUAGGGCUUUGCCCUUUGUUGGCUUUAAAAAAUAUAGAUUUUAUUUUAUUCUGUUUAAAAAAAUAAGAAAAUUCUCCACAAUUUCGUUGUAUCCAAUUGGUAGUUACAGUCUUGUCCCAUCGCUGCAACUCCAGUACAGACUCGGGAGAGGCAAAGGUCGAGAGCCGUGCGUCCUCCAAAACACAACCCAGCCAAGCCGUACUGCUUCUUGACACAAUGCCCGCUUAACCCGGAAGCCAGCCGCACCAAUGUGCUGGCGACCGUGCCAGUUAACACCUGGCGACCGUGUCAGCGUGCAUUGUGUCCGGCCCGCCACAGGAGUCGCUAGUUCACGAUGGGACAACAACAUCCCUGCCGGCCAAACCCUCCCCUAACCCGGACGAUGCUGGGCCAAACCCUCCCCUAACCCGGACGAUGCUGUGCACCACCUCAUUGUUCUCCCGGUCGUGGACGAAUGCGAGCCUGGACUAGAACCAGGAUCUUUAGUGACACAGCAAGCACUGAGACAGAACCUGGACGAGAACCAGGAUCUCUAGUGACACAGCUACCACUGAGACAGAGCCUGGACUAGAACCAGGAUCUCUAUUGACACAGCUACCACUGAGACAGAACCUGGACUAGAACCAGGAUCUCUAGGCGCACAGCUCGCACUGCGAUGCCUUAGACCGAUACGCCACUCGAGAGGCCCUGUAACUGCCUGGAACUUAAUUAAAGUAAGUUCCCAGUGUUUCCAGAUUUCUAUGAAAUAUGACUUAUAAUUACUUAUAAUUACUGAUAAAUACUGUCCUUCCAAUCUUUUUUUAAAUAAAUAUGUUAAAAGCAUCUUUUCUGUGUUGGAAUGGUGUGGGCGUACCCCAACAACAGAAUAGUGUGGGUCGUACCCCAACAACAGAAUAGUGUGGGUCGUACCCCAACAACAGAAUAGUGUGGGUCGUACCCCAACAACAGAAUAGUGUGGGCGUACCCCAACAACAGAAUAGUGUGGGGCGUACCCCAACAACAGAAUAGUGUGGUCCGUACCCCAACAACAGAAUAGUGUGGGCCGUACCCCAACAACAGAAUAGUGUGGGCCGUACCCCAACAACAGAAUAGUGUGGGCGUACCCCAACAACAGAAUAGUAUGGGCGUACCCCAACAACAGAAUGGUGUGGGUCGUACCCCAACAACAGAAUGGUGUGGGUCGUACCCCAACAACAGAAUAGUGUGGGUCGUACCCCAACAACAGAAUGGUGUGGGUCGUACCCCAACAACAGAAUAGUGUGGGGCGUACCCCAACAACAGAAUAGUGUGGGGCGUACCCCAACAACAGAAUGGUGUGGGU
Molecule: long non-coding RNA, 2538 nt
Organism: Oncorhynchus tshawytscha (Chinook salmon)
Lineage: Eukaryota; Metazoa; Chordata; Actinopteri; Salmoniformes; Salmonidae
Source: Ensembl